GAGUUUGAUCGUGGCUCAGAUUGAACGCUGGCGGCAGGCUUAACACAUGCAAGUCGAGCGGGGAGAUUGCUUCGGUAAUUGACCUAGCGGCGGACGGGUGAGUAAUACUUAGGAAUCUGCCUAUUAAUGGGGGACGAACAUCUCGAAAGGGAUGCUAAUACCGCAUACGCCCUACGGGGAAAGCAGGGGAUCACUUGUGACCUUGCGUUAAUAGAUGAGCCUAAGUCGGAUUAGCUAGUUGGUGGGGUAAAGGCCUACCAAGGCGACGAUCUGUAGCGGGUCUGAGAGGAUGAUCCGCCACACUGGGACUGAGACACGGCCCAGACUCCUACGGGGGCAGCAGUGGGGAAUAUUGGACAAUGGGGGGAACCCUGAUCCAGCCAUGCCGCGUGUGUGAAGAAGGCCUUAUGGUUGUAAAGCACUUUAAGCGAGGAGAGGCUCCUGCAGUUAAUACCUACAGAGAGUGGACGUUACUCGCAGAAUAAGCACCGGCUAACUCUGUGCCAGCAGCCGUA
RNAcentral lists this ribosomal RNA (515 nucleotides) under uncultured microorganism. RNAcentral's name for it is "bacterial SSU rRNA". It matches the Rfam family "Bacterial small subunit ribosomal RNA", at positions 9 to 519 of the family's 1533-position model. The record is from RNAcentral.